RNAcentral lists this ribosomal RNA (498 nucleotides) under uncultured bacterium. RNAcentral's name for it is "partial 16S ribosomal RNA". It matches the Rfam family "Bacterial small subunit ribosomal RNA", at positions 28 to 507 of the family's 1533-position model. The record is from RNAcentral.
GACGAACGCUGGCGGCGUGCCUAAUACAUGCAAGUCGAACGAGAGCGACCGGUGCUUGCACUGGUCAAUCUAGUGGCGAACGGGUGAGUAACACGUGGGUAACCUGCCUAUCAGAGGGGGAUAACAUCCGGAAACGGAUGCUAAAACCGCAUAGGUCUUCGAGCCGCAUGGCUUGAAGAGGAAAAGAGGCGCAAGCUUCUGCUGAUGGAUGGACCCGCGGUGCAUUAGCUAGUUGGUGAGGUAACGGCUCACCAAGGCCAUGAUGCAUAGCCGACCUGAGAGGGUGAUCGGCCACAUUGGGACUGAGACACGGCCCAAACUCCUACGGGAGGCAGCAGUAGGGAAUCUUCCGCAAUGGACGCAAGUCUGACGGAGCAACGCCGCGUGAGUGAAGAAGGUUUUCGGAUCGUAAAACUCUGUUGUUAGAGAAGAACAAGUGCUAGAGUAACUGUUAGCGCCUUGACGGUAGCUAACCAGAAAGCCACGGCUAACUACGUG